UACGGGGGGGGCAAGCGUUAUUCGUCAUGAUUGGGCGUAAAGCGCAUGUAGGUGGUUUUGAACCGUCGCUCAUACAAAUCCCUAGGCUUACCUUAGGUAUGGUGUGCAGAUGGUAAAAACUAGAGUAAGUAAAAGGAGAGUAGAAUUCCUGGUGGAGAGGUGGAAUUUGUAGAGACCAGGAGGAAUACCGACAGCGAAGGCAGCUCUCUAGUACUUGACUGACGCUGAGAUGCUAAAGCGUGGGUAUCGACGGGGAUUAGAGACCCCCUUAGUCCACGCCCUCAACGAUGAAAUUCACUAUUAGACUCAUCAAGUCAGCGACUAAAAUGAGUUUAGUGGUCUAGCUAACGCGUGAAAUUUCCGCCUGAGGAGUACGACCGCAAGGUUAAAACUCAAAGGAAUAGACGGGGGCUCAUACAAGUGGUGGAACAUGUGGUUUAAUUCGAAACAACGCGCAAAACCUUACCAGUUCUUGACAUAAAUUUAAAUCUCCUCCGCCAUAGGACGAGAAAAGCAAUUUACAGGUGUUGCAUGGCUGUCGUCAGCUCGUGUCGUGAGAUGUUUGGUUAGUUCCUUUAACGAGCGCAACCCUCAUGAAAAGUUAUUUAAUUAUUUAAAAAUUUUCAAACCACUAGUUAUAUACUAGAGGCAGGUGAGGAUCACGUCAAGUCGUCAUGACCCUUAUGGACUGGGCUACACACGUGUUACAAGGGCGACUACAAAGGGAAGCAAUGAUGCGAGUCGGAGCGAAUCCUAAAAGGUCGCCUCAGUUCAGAUUGCUCUCUGCAACUCGAGAGCAUGAAGUUGGAAUCACUAGUAAUCGUGGAUCAGCACGCCACGGUGAAUUUGUACCUGGGCCUUGUACUCCCCGCCCGUCACGCUCCGGAAAUCGAGUGGACUGGAAGACUUACCAAUUAUUUCUCUAUCGUUUUAUUUUAGCGUCCUUACUUGGGACAUUCUUGCUCUAGAAAGAAUAAAAUUUUUAGGCCUAUAAUUAUUUGAUCAAGGGCUGUUUGGUGACUGGAGCGAAGUCGUAACAAGGUAACC
RNAcentral lists this ribosomal RNA (1047 nucleotides) under uncultured eukaryote. RNAcentral's name for it is "bacterial SSU rRNA". It matches the Rfam family "Bacterial small subunit ribosomal RNA", at positions 524 to 1501 of the family's 1533-position model. The record is from RNAcentral.